Molecule: RNA transcript, 7389 nt
Organism: Acipenser ruthenus (sterlet)
Lineage: Eukaryota; Metazoa; Chordata; Actinopteri; Acipenseriformes; Acipenseridae
Exons: 2
Source: RefSeq, a predicted model, not a curated record
CUUUCCUCAUCGUAAUCUCUGUUUCUCUGUCUUUUUUUUCUUUUUUUCACUUCCUCAGUACUAUCUUUCUGACUUGCUUUUACCAUUAUGCUUUUAGCCUGCAAUGCUGUUUGUCUUUCUGCUUCUCGUUCUCAUUUCCUAUAACCAUCCCAGUCUUUUUCUCUUUCUUUGUCUUCUCAAACUCUAACUUUUCUCUACAUUCUUGUAACUUCCUUUCACUCUGGGUUGCUUUUAGUGGAAAAUCAGCUAUUUUAUGCCACAGAACAACCUGGUCUACAACACCGCGACCCCAUUUAUCAGCUAUCGUUUGUCCCGGUCCAACCAGCGCGUCCGGGAGACAGACCUCCUUUUUACUAUUACUUGACCUCAUUGUAAUCAAACCCACACGCGCACACACACACAAUUAUCAGAUAACACUCAUUCACUCACUCAUUCACACGGUUAUCUGUCGUCCACACUAUAUCACUGCCUAUUUUUAUUUGCACCACCUGCACAGAAAAAUAACUUUUCUUAAUUGACCAUCCAACAGUGCACUUGGUAUAUUGAUCAACUACACUAGUAGUAUGACUUUUUUUUUUUUUUUUUAAACUGUGCAUUUAAUUUUUUCAAUUGUUAUUUUUAGUUCAAUAUUUGGUAUUUCAUACGAUAUCUUUUUAACUAGUUUCAUUUGUAAUUACUUAUUAGUAUUAUUCAUAGAUCAGUCAAAUCACUUAAUUUACCUGUUUCCGGAUCAGGAUUUCUAUGUCUUAGACAACAAAGUUCCCAGAACUUUUCUGCGCAGCCCGUUCCCAGAACGGGUUUUAUCAGGUUCCCAGAACCUGAACCACGUGGUCUCUUUUUUUGUCCUCUAGACAAUAGAGUUCCCAGAACUCUUUCUGCGCAGCCCGUUCCCAGAACGGGUUUUAUCAGGUUCCCAGAACCUGAACCACGUGGUCUACCUUUUUGUCCUCUAGACAAUAGAGUUCCCAGAACUCUUUCUGCGCAGCCCGUUCCCAGAACGGGUUUUAUCAGGUUCCCAGAACCUGAACCAAUUGGUCUAUUUUAUGUAUGAGGAAAACCAGUCUCACCCUUUGUCUUUGUUCGGUACGGCGUAUCCGUCCACCGAUGCUCCCAGCCGGGUUCAAGGCGGGUCCUUCUCCUCCGAAACUAUUUCAGAGUGUGGUUCCCUGAGCCACUCCUAAGCAGCCCCCGUGCACGGUUAACCUCAAAGUCCCCGGGAGCAAUCGGAAAACGGAGCUAGCCGUCCCAUCUGGGUCGCCAAGAAUUGUCGUGGAAAUUCUAAUAAAGGAAGCGAGACUGCGAAUUCCAAACACACAGGCCUUUAUUUCUUAAGUUUGCAAACUGAGAACACUCUCAGCACACAGGGUGCUAGAUAAUCAUCGAGCAGUGUUCCAACAUACAGAGUUGGAUCAGUUUCUUAUAUACCUUAAAAUUGUCAGCAAGGCAGAGGGUUAGCCAAUGAUGAUUCAGGUAUUAGCAUAUAAGAGAAAACUUAUAACUAUGCAUACUUGGCAUAAAACUAAGCAAGCAGAUAAAAAGGAUGGGUGGUUUGGGUAUACGUGCAAAAAGACACGUCUGGCUCAUCCUUUUUUCUCACAGCCGCAGCUGCAGUGUAGGCAUCUUGCGGUUCCUUAUCUUUAGCAAGGCAUGCAAGGUUAUGGGAGAACAAAAUGCCAGUACAUUAUGUCGAGUCAGUUCUAUUUUCUGUAACAUUUCUAUAACACCUCGCUGACCAAUGGGGACGAGACGGGGCGUACAAAAGGGGGCGUGGCCCAGGGUUCUGUUCCUUCUGGCAAGGUACAGUGUGUGUGAGAGAGAGAGAGAGAGCGCGAGCGAGAGCGCAUUUUUACUGCAGUGUAUACGAGCAGGGGAAUAAAUAAACGGAAUCAGGAGAGUUCUUAUUGUGUGUUUGAAUAUACCUGCUAACCCCUUCACCCUUUGUCUGUCCAUAGAGCACUGACGGGACGCUCCGGGAAUACUUUGGAGGAGCGCGGACCCGGAAGUGCCGGACUGUGUGCAGUAAUUCAUCUCGGGGGGAGUGAGGAAGGACGGACUGUGUUUUUGUUUGAUUGUCCUUGCGUUUUGGUUUCAUUUUCAUUUGGGACUGCAACCCCUUUCUUUCCCUUUGUUUGUCGGGCUACACAUUGUUGUGUAUCCCGGCGCUAUUAUUAUUAUUAUUAUUAUUAUUAUUAUUAUUAUUAUUGUUGUUUGACCGGGUUACACAUUGCUGUGUAUCCCGGCGUUAUUAUUGUUGGAUUUUUUCCGUGUUGUGGAUUAAAAACCCGGAGUUUUUACCAACAAACCUGGACUGGUCUAGCGAUCUUUUACACCACACCCUCAGCCAACCUGUCAUCGUGGGAUGGAUCCAGCCAGUUUUGCGGCGGUGUUGGAGGCUUUGGACAGCCGAAGGGAGGUUGAGGAACGGAGGAGGGAGGAGCGAUACACGGCCCUUAUCGAGAGGGUCGGGAUGGGGAUGACGUCAGCAGCAACAACGGGCCCCGUGAUGGUUGCCCCGAAGGCCCGGGCCCAGAAAAUGACGGUGGAGGAUGACCCCGAAGCCUACCUCGUGGCAUUCGAGCGGCUGGCCACCACCGCAGCCUGGCCCCGGGAGUACUGGGCGAGCCAACUGGGCCCUUGCUUGAUUGGGGAGGCGCAAGCCGCAUAUCGGGCUAUGACUGAUGAAGACGCGGCCCAGUACGACUUGGUGAAGCAGGCUAUCCUCCGCCGUCUGAACAUCACGGGGGAGACCCACCGGGUCAGAUUCAGGGAGUUCCGGCGGCCACCAAACACACGACCCAGGGUGGUGGCCCAACGGCUAUGCGACCACAUGGCGCAAUGGCUAAACCCCAGCCAGAAAACUGGGGUUCAGAUGGGGGAAGCCAUUGUCAUGGAACAGUUUUGCCAUGUGGUCGGAGGCGAAACGCAGGCCUGGAUACGCCGGCACAACCCCACCACCCUGGACCAGGCCGUAGCACUGGCCGAGAACUUCGAGGACUCCCUCAUGUCCGCCCAGACCACCUUGCUGAACUACCCCUCCUCCUCCGUUACUAAGGGACCACCACCAAACCCCCCCGGACCAAGACCUGCCAGACCACCGGCCCCGUCGGGCCAUCCAAGCUCCUUACCAUGGAGGCAGAGGUUGGCUCCCAGCUGGGGUAGAAUGGUUUCCCCCGCCCCGCUGUCAUACCAGCAGCGGGACAAGUAUGUACCGCCCUUGCCCUCUGCCCCACCAGUCUGUUUUAGGUGCCAGCAGCCGGGACACAUCGCCAGAUACUGCCCGGCCGCCAUGGAGUGCGACGUGGCUGCGUGUCAUCUGGCAUCAGAGACAGGUAAGGAAUGGGGAAAUGGUCGGGAGGGCCCGUGUGUUGUUGAUGUUGUGCUGGGGAAGGUGAAAACCCACGCGUUAGUGGACACCGGGUGUGAGCAGACUUUGAUUCGGACAGCUCUCCUUGGCGGUAUGUCGUGGCAGCCACGAGGUCAGGUGGCGAUCUCCUGUAUCCAUGGAGAUACGGCGACAUACCCCACCCUAAAAGUAUAUCUGUCGGUAGGACCGAUAAAGCGCCACCUAGUAGUGGGGGUGGCCGAAAAGUUGCCACACCCAAUCAUUCUGGGCCGAGACUGGCCGCGAUACAAGGAUUUAGUAAAAAUAUCGGCAGCCUCGACCACACGUGUAGGCACGGCAGACCCCCGGGAAAAGGAAGUAAUUGGCACCAUGUUCCCUUUCCAUGCAGAACUGUUUUCUCCACUUUUUCGUCCUAGGAAAACGCACAAGGAGAGACGGAGGGAAAAGUGGGAGGGCGCAUCGAUCCGACACGGUUGGUGCCUGGCGGGGGAAGGUUGUGAUGGUCCCAAACGCCAAUCGAAGGGGGUGGGCACCCAGUGUGACCAGACGGGCGAGGUUACUGGACCCUUGAGGGUAGAGACUGCUCCAGCCCCUGUCAAUAUCCCGGACGUGUGGGCCUCAAGCGCGGACCUAGUGUGGGAGCAGAACAACGAUCCCACACUGGUGCACGCUUGGGAACAGGUUCGGUCUAUUGAGGGUAAGGAUGUUGACGGCAUCGGGACGCUGGUAUAUCCCCAUUUUGUGGUGGAGGGGCACUUACUGUAUAGGGUAAACCCAGCCCCGGGCACAGGACAGCCUGUCAAACAGUUGAUGGUUCCCCCGUCUUGUCGACCAGAGGUCAUGAGGCUGGCGCAUGACGUCCCCUUUGCAGGACACCUUGGUGUUGACAAGACGAGGGACCGGAUACUGACUCGAUUUUAUUGGGCCGGACUCUACACCGAAGUGGCGAAAUAUGUAGCUACCUGCCCGGAAUGCCAGAGAGUAGCACCGGGUCGAAUGCGCCCCGCCCCUUUGGUCCCACUGCCUAUUGUCUCCACUCCCUUCGAACGCGUUGCAAUGGACAUAGUUGGGCCAGUGCUGCCUUCUGAUUCCGGGUACACGCACAUAUUAGUGAUGGUGGAUUAUGCGACGCGGUACCCGGAAGCAGUUCCUUUGCGGUCCACUAGUGCCACUGCAAUUGCGAAAGAAUUAAGUCAGAUUAUGGCUAGAGUAGGGAUCCCAAAAGAAAUAUUAACUGAUCACGGAACGAACUUUUUGUCCAAAACGCUACAGCAGGUGUAUAAAAUUCUAAAAAUACGUCCCAUCAGGACGUCCGUUUAUCAUCCCCAAACGGAUGGCCUGGUGGAACGUUUUAACCAAACAUUGAAGCACAUGUUGAGACGGUUUGUGAGUCAGGAGCAAAAACAUUGGGCUACUCUUCUUCCUUACCUACUCUUCGCAGUGAGAGAGGUGCCUCAGAGCUCAACGGGAUUUUCCCCCUUUGAGCUGUUAUAUGGCCGGCAGCCACGGGGCAUCCUCGAUCUGUUGAGAGAAGGGUGGGAAGAACAUAAAAGCUUGUCUAAAAAUGUAGUGCAGCAUGUGCUCCUACUGCGGGAUCGCCUUGAUUUAAUCGGUCGGUUGGCUCAAGACAACCUUAGAUCGGCUCAACAUCGGCAACAGCAGCAUUACAAUACUAAUGCACAAAUUCGAACUUUUCGGCCAGGAGAUAAGGUAAUGCUGCUUCUUCCGUCGUUGGAGUCAAAGCUGUGUGCUAAAUGGCAGGGGCCAUAUGAAGUGAUACGGGCAGUAGGAUUAGUGAAUUACGAAAUUAGACAGCCUGAUCGCCGAAAUAAAACGGAAAUUUACCAUGUCAACUUAUUAAAGCCCUGGAAGGCAAGGGAGGUCUUAUUCAUAGCCCCAGGCGAGAUGGAGGAUGACUUAGGACCCUGCAUAGAGGCCCCUAGCCCCAGCCAGAUUUCAAUGGGGGAACAGUUACUUCCGGAUCAGCAGGUGGAAUUGCGUAAGUUGAUUGGGAAAUUUGGGGAUGUGUUUUCUGACGUGCCCGGCAGAACUAACCUUACUGAAUAUGCUGUUAUUACUCCGCCAGGGGUCACUGUUCGGGAGAGGCCCUACCGGAUCCCAGAAAGCCGGCGGAGUGGCGUCCAGAACGAGGUGAGGGCGAUGCUUGAACUUGGGGUCAUUGAGCCUUCCAGAAGCGAGUGGUGCAGUCCCAUUGUUAUAGUGGCUAAGAAGGACGGCACUAAUCGCUUCUGUGUGGACUUUCGAAAGGUCAAUGCUAUCGCCAAGUUCAAUGCCUACCCCAUGCCUCGGAUCGACGAACUCCUCGACCGACUGGGAACGGCCAGGUUUAUCUCAACUCUGGACCUGACGAAGGGAUAUUGGCAGAUCCCUUUGACCCGCAAUUCCUGUGAAAAAACGGCAUUUUCAACUCCGGAUGGGCUGUUCCAUUUUAAAACCAUGCCGUUUGGGCUACAUGGUGCGCCCGCCGCCUUUCAGAGACUGAUGGACGAGGUGUUACAUCCCCAUCGUGAGUAUGCAGCAGCGUAUAUUGACGAUGUGGUUAUAUAUAGCUCCACCUGGAGAGAGCAUGUAAUUCGACUUACAGCCGUCCUUCAGUCUCUAAGGGCGGCCCGGCUGACAGCCAACCUAAGGAAAUGUGCGUUUGCUAAAUUAGAGACCCAGUACCUAGGAUUUAUCAUGGGAAAUGGACGGGUGAAACCCGUGGCCACCAAAGUCCAGGCUUUGGUGGACGCGGCGGUCCCCAAAACCAAGUCCCAGGUGAGGUCACUAUUGGGAUUGGCUGGUUAUUACCGCCGCUUUAUCCCCGAGUAUGCCACCGUGGUCAAUCCCCUGGUAGACCUCACUAAAAAGUGUGCACCAAAUUUAGUUAAGUGGUCAGCAGAGUGUCAGGGAGCGUUUGAGACCAUUAAACAAAAACUGUGCCAGGCUCCUGCGCUAAUAUCACCAGAUUUUAGCAAGAGAUUCUUCCUCCAUACCGACGUGUCAGAGGUUGGUUUGGGGGCGGUCUUGUCUCAGCGAGUUAACGGGGUGGAGCACCCGAUUCUUUACAUUAGUAAGAAAAUGCUUCCUCGGGAGCGCAAUUACUCGGUGGUAGAGAAAGAGUGCCUAGCCAUUAAAUGGGCCACCCACUCCCUCAGAUAUUACUUGAUGGGACAUUCAUUUGAUCUGGUCACGGACCACGCCCCACUCAGAUGGUUAAGCACUAUGAAGGAUAGCAAUGCCCGAAUAACUCGGUGGUAUUUGGCAUUGCAGCCUUAUAUGUAUCAUAUGGUACAUCGUGCAGGGAAAGAUCACCAAAAUGCGGAUUAUUUUUCCCGGGAGGGGGGAGUAAUGGGAAUGGUAGAUUUGGCCGAGUGUUCCUUCGGCUCCACUCUGAGCGGUGGGAUAUGUGAAAAAGAGAGAGUGAACUCUUGUUUUAGAUCUCCCUUCCGACCGGUGAGGACGCUGGGGAGGAGGAGCAGACAGAGCCGCGGUGCGCAACGUCACAGACCCGGUCGGGAAGCGCGGUGGCAAUCGCGCAUUGGCUGACGGCGGUUGCUCUCGCUGACCAAUGGGGACGAGACGGGGCGUACAAAAGGGGGCGUGGCCCAGGGUUCUGUUCCUUCUGGCAAGAGCACUGACGGGACGCUCCGGGAAUACUUUGGAGGAGCGCGGACCCGGAAGUGCCGGACUGUGUGCAGUAAUUCAUCUCGGGGGGAGUGAGGAAGGACGGACUGUGUUUUUGUUUGAUUGUCCUUGCGUUUUGGUUUCAUUUUCAUUUGGGACUGCAACCCCUUUCUUUCCCUUUGUUUGUCGGGUUACACAUUGUUGUGUAUCCCGGCGCUAUUAUUAUUAUUAUUAUUAUUAUUAUUAUUAUUAUUAUUGUUGUUUGACCGGGUUACACAUUGCUGUGUAUCCCGGCGUUAUUAUUGUUGGAUUUUUUCCGUGUUGUGGAUUAAAAACCCGGAGUUUUUACCAACAAACCUGGACUGGUCUAGCGAUCUUUUACACCACACCCUCAGCCAACCUGUCACACUCAUAUUGGG